This 254-nucleotide ribosomal RNA is filed under the name uncultured bacterium. Its description in RNAcentral is "partial small subunit ribosomal RNA". It matches the Rfam family "Bacterial small subunit ribosomal RNA", at positions 26 to 285 of the family's 1533-position model. The record is from RNAcentral.
AGGACGAACGCUGGCGGCGUGCUUAACACAUGCAAGUCGAGCGGAAAGGCCCUUCGGGGUACUCGAGCGGCGAACGGGUGAGUAACACGUGAGUAACCUGCCCCUAGCUCUGGGAUAGCUCCGGGAAACCGGGAUUAAUACCAGAUACGACCACUUUAGACAUCUGUCGUGGUGGAAAGGAUUCCGGCUAGGGAUGGGCUCGCGGCCUAUCAGCUAGUUGGUGGGGUAAUGGCCUACCAAGGCGACGACGGGUA